This 2390-nucleotide long non-coding RNA is filed under the name Nicotiana tabacum (common tobacco). Its description in RNAcentral is "long non-coding RNA (NTAB_LNC009392)". Lineage: Eukaryota; Viridiplantae; Streptophyta; Magnoliopsida; Solanales; Solanaceae. The record is from RNAcentral.
UUUCCCCCUUUAAUCCUGGCCCUUCAUCUCAGCUCAUCCAACGGACUGGAACUCCUUACCCCUUCCCUUAAAACUGUCUCAAACACCCCCAUACCCUUGAGACCAGACCUCAAUCUUCAUCUUCCUCCUUGUCAUCUCUUAUCAAACCCUAGCCGCCCCAAAAAUCCACCCCGGCGGCACCACCUCAAACAGCUCCAAUCUCCCUCAAAUUCACACCCCAUAAUCCCCACCUCCUCCUCAUCCUAUAUCAAAUUUCCUCUAAAACAUCUUAGUUUCCCCCGAUUUUUAGAUCUAAAAAAGGGCCAAAAAACCUAGCUUCAUUCCCCAUUGAGUUCUUCAGGAAUUAUUGAUCGUUUUGACUUGAAACUGACAUUGAUCGAUUGCUCUCGUCAAGAGAAAUCGAUUAAUGUAAGUUUUAGCUCAUCUCGAAACUAUCAGAUUCCGGACGGUGCUCGUUGUCUGCCAUAAAUCAUUUCGUCGUCCUGAUUGUUUCAACAUGUAUAUCUCUUUCUCAUGUUCUUUCUUUCUAUCUUGAAUUGUUAUUACGUUUUGGCUAAGUCGUCCGUUUGCAGAAAUUGGAGGUUAACUUUGUUUCGUAGAAGACGAUUUGUUAGGUUGCUAGAUGUCUUAAGAUAAUUGAUUUUGAUUUUAAUUGUUUUUUUGUUAAUUUAAGUUAGUUGUUGAAUUUAUUUAGCUAUGUGGAAUGCUUUUGUUUUGGUUAUCAUUAGGUUGUUCCAAAAUCAUGCUGAUUGUGGCCUGGUUCGAAAUGGAUUGGGGCCUGCCUUGUUUGACAGGCAGGUCUAUUGAGUAUUAAAUCCCAAAGACAUAAAAUGCUUGUUGAUGCAAAAAGAAAACUAAGAGAGUAUAUACAGGGGUGAUAAAGGGUAAUUUAGGUUUUGAACCAGCAGAAUCUUUUCUGUUACACCUUAGGAAGCUUCUAGAAAAAGGGUUAAAGGGCAAUAAAAUGAAAGAAUUAGGUCUGAUUUGGGUAAAAGAGGUGAUUUUCAGAAGCUAAAGGUUUAAGAAAUAAAAAGAAAUAUCUGGAAAUAGGACAGCUGUCCAAUUCAGUUGCAAAAGAUGCCAUUUUCCUAAAUUUUAGGAGGCUGACGGAUUCUUUUCUAGGCCUUAUCUCAUUUUCCCAUAGAGCAUAUGCAUAUUCUAUAAAAGGGUACUCUUCCUCAUAUUCUCACACGUUUUUUUGCAUAUCUACUCACAAAUACACUGGAUUUUACACUGUUACUCUGAUUUUCACCGAGUUCUCUGAAAAAGAAACAAUCUGGAAAAUAGAGAAAAUUCCAAACUUUCCUCUAUUUUGUCUUCUUGCUUCAUCUCGUUGGGGUUUUACAAGUUUGAUUGACCUUCAAGACCUGGGUUUUACUGCUGUCUGCUGAGCUUCGAGUUUGAAUCAGAUUAUGUUCUUAUUUGGAUAUCUUAGUGUUUUCUUGCUUAACUAGGUCAGUACCCAGAUCUCUGUGCAUUUUAUGCUCUUAUCAAAUGACUAGAAAUGCGUCUGCUCUUGUUUAAUCUCUGAAUAUCUGUUUGUUUCUAUCUUAGUGUGUGAUUUAAUGGACUUUUCGUUUUAAUCAUAAAUCGAAACAGUGAAGUAGCUUUGAAAUAUAACACUUAUGAAAAUUUGAUCAACUAAGUAUGAGUCUUUAAUUGUUGAGUUGAUUGAUAAUCUCAAAUGAUGUUUGAAAUUUGUUUAAAUCUUGCAGAUUUAGCAAUAGCGCUAAACAUAAAGCUAUUAUAGUUUUCUGUAUAUGUGAUGAGUAAUUUUGUGCCAUUUCGAGGAUAUAGAAGGCUUUUGCUGCUUGAUCAUAUGGCUAUAGUUUGCGGAUUUGGCUACUAAUUGGCCAAAUCAGCAAAAUUCUAAGCCAAAGAAUGGGAUUCUGUCGCUGGUAGUAUGCUGAAGGUUAACUACUUCAUGUUGUGGAUUGAGGUUUAUGUGGAUAGAUUAGAUCCGAAUUGGAAAGUAUUCAUUAGUUUAGCAAUUUCAUGGAGAAUUGUAAUAGAAGUGAUUGAUGUUUUAAAGUUCGUAUUCUGAUUCUUGUAUAAAAAUUAGUUGUAAUUCUUGAAUGUCAGAUAAGCAUGUCUUCCUAUUUAAAGUGGUUUGUAGUUGUUUUCACUUUAGCACUAAUGCACGAGAAAAAUAUGUUUUACAGUAUCUUUCACUAAAAGCAAAUUUGGUCUUUCAAUUGUUUGAAGUUGCUACCUGUUGGCCUAUAGUUCACUUAGCUUUAAUUCAGGCAUUAGAAUUAUUUCAGGGAUCAACUAAUGACUAGUUUAAAAAUGGAUUGUUGUGUUUAUAAAAUCUCAACUUGUAUCAUGAUUAACUCAUCUCGUAAUCUUCCUGUGAUCCAAUGUCAGGCAGAUUUGAAUAUCAAAUGACG